This 194-nucleotide small RNA is filed under the name Oryza sativa Japonica Group (Japanese rice). RNAcentral's name for it is "sRNA Os05g0570000". The record is from RNAcentral. Lineage: Eukaryota; Viridiplantae; Streptophyta; Magnoliopsida; Poales; Poaceae.
GAGUUCCAAUCUACACGGGAAGAUCUUGCUCCACGUGCUGCACGGUAUCUAGUGUAUAUCAUCAACAAUUUCCUGCAAAUAAUAUUAGCAAAUCAGGCUUCAUGUAAAACUUUUCAUCUCCAGUCUUAAGUUCUCUUUCAUGUAAAACUUUUCAUCUCCAUGUAUAACUAAAACUUUUGAGACUUUUUUUUUUU